This 344-nucleotide RNase P RNA is filed under the name Clostridiales bacterium. RNAcentral describes it as "RNase P RNA component class A". It matches the Rfam family "Bacterial RNase P class A". Rfam says of the family: Ribonuclease P (RNase P) is a ubiquitous endoribonuclease, found in archaea, bacteria and eukarya as well as chloroplasts and mitochondria. Its best characterised activity is the generation of mature 5'-ends of tRNAs by cleaving the 5'-leader elements of precursor-tRNAs. The record is from RNAcentral. Lineage: Bacteria; Bacillati; Bacillota; Clostridia; Eubacteriales.
AGAGUAAAUCAUACAAUCGCAAGCUAAGACUUAUGUCAUAGUUUGAGGAAAGUCUGGGCUCCAUAGGGCAGGGUGCCGGUUAACGACCGGUGAGGGCGACCUCAAGGACAGUGCAACAGAAAGAUACCGCCUGUAUAGGUAAGGAUGGAAAGGUGAGGUAAGAGCUCACCAGCAAUUAGGUAACUAAUUGGCUAUGUAAACCCCACCUGGAGCAAGACCAAGAUAGGAUUUUGAGUGGCUGCCCGUCACAAUCCGGUAGGUAGGUCGCUAGAGCUUGUUGGCAACAAUAAGCGUAGAUAGAUGAUUGUUUAAUACAGAACCCAGCUUAUGAACUUACUCUACUA